GAUGAACGCUGGCGGCGUGCUUAACACAUGCAAGUCGAACGAAACACCUUAUUUGAUUUUCUUCGGAACUGAAGAUUUGGUGAUUGAGUGGCGGACGGGUGAGUAACGCGUGGGUAACCUGCCCUGUACAGGGGGAUAACAGUCAGAAAUGACUGCUAAUACCGCAUAAGACCACAGCACCGCAUGGUGCAGGGGUAAAAACUCCGGUGGUACAGGAUGGACCCGCGUCUGAUUAGCUGGUUGGUGAGGUAACGGCUCACCAAGGCGACGAUCAGUAGCCGGCUUGAGAGAGUGAACGGCCACAUUGGGACUGAGACACGGCCCAAACUCCGACGGGAGGCAGCAGUGGGGAAUAUUGCACAAUGGGGGAAACCCUGAUGCAGCGACGCCGCGUGAGUGAAGAAGUAUUUCGGUAGGUAAAGCUCUAUCAGCAGGGAAGAAAAUGACGGUACCUGACUAAGAAGCCCCGGCUAACUACGU
Molecule: ribosomal RNA, 480 nt
Filed under: uncultured bacterium
Lineage: Bacteria
Description: partial 16S ribosomal RNA
Rfam family: Bacterial small subunit ribosomal RNA
Source: RNAcentral